CCUACGGGUGGCAGCAGUGGGGAAUAUUGGACAAUGGGGGGAACCCUGAUCCAGCCAUGCCGCGUGUGUGAAGAAGGCCCUCGGGUUGUAAAGCACUUUCAGUGAAGAAGAACGCCUGGUGGUUAAUACCCAUCAGGAAAGACAUCACUCACAGAAGAAGCACCGGCUAACUCCGUGCCAGCAGCCGCGGUAAUACGGAGGGUGCGAGCGUUAAUCGGAAUUACUGGGCGUAAAGCGCGCGUAGGUGGCUUGAUAAGCCGGUUGUGAAAGCCCCGGGCUCAACCUGGGAACGGCAUCCGGAACUGUCAAGCUAGAGUGCAGGAGAGGAAGGUAGAAUUCCCGGUGUAGCGGUGAAAUGCGUAGAGAUCGGGAGGAAUACCAGUGGCGAAGGCGGCCUUCUGGACUGACACUGACACUGAGGUGCGAAAGCGUGGGUAGCAAACAGGAUUAGAUACCCUAGUAGUC
RNAcentral lists this ribosomal RNA (465 nucleotides) under Vreelandella stevensii. RNAcentral describes it as "partial 16S ribosomal RNA". It matches the Rfam family "Bacterial small subunit ribosomal RNA", at positions 338 to 795 of the family's 1533-position model. Lineage: Bacteria; Pseudomonadati; Pseudomonadota; Gammaproteobacteria; Oceanospirillales; Halomonadaceae. The record is from RNAcentral.